UUAACUAAAAUUUGUAUGGAGUAGUAGUGGUGCCUACGUUUGCCGCUAGGGGCGCUGUUCCAACUCCAUACAUAUUUCAGUUA
RNAcentral lists this microRNA precursor (83 nucleotides) under Bombyx mori (domestic silkworm). RNAcentral describes it as "mir-2807 microRNA precursor family". It matches the Rfam family "mir-2807 microRNA precursor family". Lineage: Eukaryota; Metazoa; Arthropoda; Insecta; Lepidoptera; Bombycidae. The record is from Rfam by way of RNAcentral.